Long non-coding RNA from Daphnia magna, 968 nucleotides. RefSeq lists it as uncharacterized. The transcript is spliced from 3 exons. Lineage: Eukaryota; Metazoa; Arthropoda; Branchiopoda; Diplostraca; Daphniidae. The record is from RefSeq and is a predicted model, not a curated record.
AAUCUCUCACCGUUUAGCCUAAAAUAACAGGAACACGACAAACGAUUGUUCCAUUAUCUGCUCUACAACACAAUACCAAUGUCCACGUCCUAACCUGGAAGGUGGUAAAACAUCCUUUGCAAAAAUAACGCCAUCUAUCGGGAGAAAUCUUAGAAAAAAUGUGGGUUCGGUCGACACGAAAGACCUGUAGUAUGACAUGCAGUUUCGCAAGAAUCCUUAUCGGGAAAUUUCAAAUCAAUGCUCUUUGUUACUAGGGGCCCUCACUCCGUUCAGGAAGUUCCCGAUAGGGUCCGGCCUGGUCGCCAAUUCGCCACAGAAUCUCGGAAACCGUUUGCUCUUCCUGCAAAACUGACGGCUGAGGAUCCGAGUAAUCAAGAAAAGCAAGUUAGUUAUAUCGAUGGGCGUACAGUUUGUUUAAUCCAUCUAUUGGUAUUCUUCAUGGUUUAACCAACAAGUAUCAUCAAUCAAUCCCGCUGAAAAGUGAAGAACACCUAGUUUUUAAGAAUAAAGAUUGAGUGCUACUGCUAAACACCACCUGCCAGUUCCAAGCACAGAUUCAUUGGGCAAAGCAAACGAAAGAGUCCAUCCUUGAAACCGUCAAGUGACGCUUCCCUUUGCAGUACCUUUUUCGCUUACCAAAGACGUCGGAGCUGUUCUUCACUUUUAGAAGCCUACGUACCCUUUCCUACAGUCUUACUUUAUGUAAAUGGCAUAACGCUUCGAAUGGCCUUACGCUUGUUUUUGGGCGACAUCCGAACGUUCCAAAAGAACUAGAUUAACAAUUGGGCGAAAAAGGGUAAUUCUACAAGGGAGAGCAACAACAACCCACCUGGCUGCACAUUAACAAUACGAAUAGUCAACAAGUCAUCACGUGAACUCCUCUUAAAAAACGAGUUUAUGAAGCGUGCGGAGAUCAUCCUAUGGAUCGUGCGGAGAUCAUUUGUCUAAGCAACGAUCGUAAAUCAAAU